CCCAGGUCAGUUAAGCCUCUUUAAGUAAGUAGCAGGAGGGAUUUAGCCACAAUAAAAGCUGCCCAGGGACUCUUGUCUUCAAGUUAUUCUUAGUUACUGUUGCUUCUGAGUACUCUGUUCCAGUUCACUCUGUCUCUAGAGAAGGUGUCCUUAAUCUGGGAUCUGUGGACUUGGGCUUAUGGACUCCAAGCCCUGCAUUGCCCCUUCUUCCACACUGAUUCACCUGAUUUCCAAGUAUGCGUUGAUUCAGAGACUCCCUGGUCUCACGUUCAUUUCAUCAGCAUCUGGCAGGUAAUCACAGCAUUCUUUCCAGUAAAAAAAAAAGGUUUGGGCUCGGAUUCUGGGGAGCCAAGAUGGUGGAGUGAAAAGGUAGUCACACUCUCACUUUCCCCUGUAAACCUCUGAAAACCCAGAAAAUAUCACCCCAGAAAAAAAGCCCUGGAGCAGCUGAACUAGAAGAAAGACGAGGAGCAGCAGUGCAGCAGCCCAGCAAAUAGGUCUCCCAGUGCCUUAGCAAAAAUAAGGGAGGCAGAACUACAAGGGGCCCCAGGUGGAUAAGCACCCUGGGGCAUUUGUCUGAAAGGAGGUGAAGAAAGCAAUCUAAAGUCUUCCUAAAGCCCUGGCCUUGCUGGUUCCAGCCCAACACCAGGUGAGCUGUCAGAACCCUGCAGCCUCCAAUUGUGAAGAAAUCCUGAAGCCCAGGUGGUGGAACAGGCAAACACCAACACUCAGUGCCUCAGUGUGGGGGGGACCAGUGGAAACCAGCUCAGAAAACCACCAGGUGCUUCAGCAUGCUACCACAAAGGAAUUAGUAGAAAUGAGGGAGACAACACUGCAGGGGCCCCCACGCAGAUAAACACCUUGCACACUCAUCUAAAAGGAGCUGAAAAAAAUCUAAAAGAAAGGAAAAAUAGGCAACCUAGAAUUGCCUUAAAGUUCCAGCCUUGCUGAUUCCAGUCCAACACAAGGAAAGCUGCCAGAACCCUACAGCCUCCAAUUGCCAACAUAAGUGGCCCCAGCACACAAAGCCAGUGACCAAGACCUAGGCUCCCAACACAAGAAGCUUGGGUCAGUGCCUUCUGCCCCAGCAGGAGAGCUCAAUCUCUUUAAAGGCCAG
Molecule: long non-coding RNA, 1117 nt
Filed under: Phascolarctos cinereus (koala)
Lineage: Eukaryota; Metazoa; Chordata; Mammalia; Diprotodontia; Phascolarctidae
Description: lncRNA (ENSPCIG00000035407.1)
Source: RNAcentral